Molecule: ribosomal RNA, 250 nt
Filed under: uncultured prokaryote
Description: partial 16S rRNA
Rfam family: Bacterial small subunit ribosomal RNA
Source: RNAcentral
ACGUAGGGGGCGAGCGUUAUCCGGAAUUAUUGGGCGUAAAGAGUGCGUAGGUGGUUCUUUAAGCGUGAGGUGAAAGGCAAUGGCUUAACUAUUGUAAGCCUUAGGAACUGGAGAGCUUGAGUGUAGGAGAGGUAAGUGGAAUUCCUAGUGUAGCGGUGAAAUGCGUAGAUAUUAGGAGGAACACCAAUGGCGAAGGCAGUUUCCUGGACUGUAACUGACGCUGAGACGCGAAAGCGAGGGGAGCAAACAG